This 1210-nucleotide ribosomal RNA is filed under the name Lactiplantibacillus plantarum. Its description in RNAcentral is "bacterial SSU rRNA". It matches the Rfam family "Bacterial small subunit ribosomal RNA", at positions 1 to 1215 of the family's 1533-position model. The record is from RNAcentral. Lineage: Bacteria; Bacillati; Bacillota; Bacilli; Lactobacillales; Lactobacillaceae.
UAAUGAGGCUGUUCGUGCUGCAGUCUCGCUGCAGUCGAACGAACUCUGGUAUUGAUUGGUGCUUGCAUCAUGAUUUACAUUUGAGUGAGUGGCGAACUGGUGAGUAACACGUGGGAAACCUGCCCAGAAGCGGGGGAUAACACCUGGAAACAGAUGCUAAUACCGCAUAACAACUUGGACCGCAUGGUCCGAGUUUGAAAGAUGGCUUCGGCUAUCACUUUUGGAUGGUCCCGCGGCGUAUUAGCUAGAUGGUGGGGUAACGGCUCACCAUGGCAAUGAUACGUAGCCGACCUGAGAGGGUAAUCGGCCACAUUGGGACUGAGACACGGCCCAAACUCCUACGGGAGGCAGCAGUAGGGAAUCUUCCACAAUGGACGAAAGUCUGAUGGAGCAACGCCGCGUGAGUGAAGAAGGGUUUCGGCUCGUAAAACUCUGUUGUUAAAGAAGAACAUAUCUGAGAGUAACUGUUCAGGUAUUGACGGUAUUUAACCAGAAAGCCACGGCUAACUACGUGCCAGCAGCCGCGGUAAUACGUAGGUGGCAAGCGUUGUCCGGAUUUAUUGGGCGUAAAGCGAGCGCAGGCGGUUUUUUAAGUCUGAUGUGAAAGCCUUCGGCUCAACCGAAGAAGUGCAUCGGAAACUGGGAAACUUGAGUGCAGAAGAGGACAGUGGAACUCCAUGUGUAGCGGUGAAAUGCGUAGAUAUAUGGAAGAACACCAGUGGCGAAGGCGGCUGUCUGGUCUGUAACUGACGCUGAGGCUCGAAAGUAUGGGUAGCAAACAGGAUUAGAUACCCUGGUAGUCCAUACCGUAAACGAUGAAUGCUAAGUGUUGGAGGGUUUCCGGCCCUUCAGUGCUGCAGCUAACGCAUUAAGCAUUCCGCCUGGGGAGUACGGCCGCAAGGCUGAAACUCAAAGGAAUUGACGGGGGCCCCGCACAAGCGGUGAGCAUGUGGUUAAUUUCGAAGCUACGCGAAGAAGCCUUACCAGUCUUGGACAUACUUAUGCAAAUCUAAGAGAUAAGACGUUCCUUCGGGACAUGAAUCAGGUGGUUGCAUGAUGUCGUCAGCUCGGGUCGGGAAAUGUGGGUAAGUCCCGCAACGGAGCGCAACCAUUAUUAUCAGUGCCAGCAUUAAGCUGGACCUCUGGGUGAACUGCGGUUCAUCGGACCAGUGGAUGACGUCAUCAUUAUGCCUUAUAUAGUACCUGGGGC